Anthonomus grandis grandis is the source of this 1443-nucleotide long non-coding RNA. RefSeq lists it as uncharacterized. NCBI's taxonomy places the organism in Eukaryota, Metazoa, Arthropoda, Insecta, Coleoptera, Curculionidae. The transcript has 2 exons. The record is from RefSeq and is a predicted model, not a curated record.
UAAAAGAAAAAAAACAUGAAAUUAAAAACUUAAUAUCUUAUAUUUAUUUUGUUUAAUAUAAGUGUUAUUAAAAUAUUAUAUUAGGGUUCUUUACUGUCCUAGGCAUUAUCUUUCAGUAGCCGCAUCUGAUAUGCGAGAUUACGGAUUAUUAAUUUUAGUUAGUAGAAUCUCCUGUAAAAUAAAAAACUAUAUCCAUUUAAGUUCCCCUAAAAAGCAAAAUUCAAGCAAAAGGGUUACAGACUUAACAAUUUUAGAUACUGCUGGUAUCCCUAAUACUAUUUAUACAAUGUACGAGUAAAGUAAGUAUUUUAUUAUUUGGUUAUAUAUAAUAGGUAUUUUUUAAUAUUUUCUUUUAUUUUUGGAAAAAUAUGUGACUUUAAUUUUUUAUGGCAAGAACUUAAAGAAAAAUUAAAAUUUGAUGGUUGUCGCAUACCAUUAUGCUCAGUUCUAAAAGAAAUUGGCUUUAAAUGGAAAAAAGAUGAUCCUAGAAGGAGGCUUUUAGAACUGCCUAAUAUAGCAUUUAAACGUGUCGAUUUUUAAAGUCGUAUAUAAAAGAAAAAGAGAAAGAAAAGAGCAUAUAUAAAUUUGUCUUCCUAGACGAAAAAGAUUUUUCAAAAUGGAACCAUAGGGCGUUCAUGGCAGGAUGAUAAUAAAAAGAGCGUGAGAAAGAUUAAAAGCGAUGGUAAGAGGUAAGAUUAGAAUUAUCUUUUAUCUAAACUUAUCAUUUAUCAUUUAUCUAAACUUUUUAUGUAUAAAUAUUAUUUUAGAUAUAUCAUACUUAAUGCGAAUGGGAAAUAAAGAUGGAUUUAUUGAAAACGCAGAUCUUAUUUUUUCCCUAAUGAGUCAAACAAGCAACUACCAUGGUGAAAUGAAUCGGGAAUAUGUUUGCUUUGAUUUGUUAAAAAAUUUAACUGAUCCAUCAUUAAUAAUUGUGGACAAAGCUCCUUGCCACAUCAUGCUCUUAAAUAAAAGAACUAAACAGUUCUUGAACAAAACCAGCAAUUCAGGAGUGGCUAAUUACCGAGAAUAUAAAGUCUUUAAACAAUAUGUUUAAAAGUGAACUUUUAAGAAUUGUUGCAAGAAAUAAAGCAAAGCAAAAAUAUUUUAUAGAUGAUCUGGUUGAGCAGUUCAGUCAUAAAGUUCUUCGCCUGCCACCAUAUCACUGUAUGUUUAAACCAAUCGAACAUAUAUGGGGCAUAUCCAAAUCCUAUUACAAUAAGCACAUUAGCAGGGAUGGCAAUUCACACCAAGAUUGCUUAAACAUGUGGCAUAGAGCACUGCAAACCAUAACACCUGAUAUAUAGAAAAAUACAAUAACACAUACGGAAAAGGAAAUUUUAAAAUGAGUGCACAGAAUCAGAUUAGUAGUAAUACCUACUAAACAAAACAUAUAAUUUUCGUAUUAUUAUAUAUUAUUGUAAUAUAUUUUAUAUUUGUUAAAAA